Molecule: ribosomal RNA, 253 nt
Filed under: uncultured bacterium
Lineage: Bacteria
Description: partial 16S ribosomal RNA
Rfam family: Bacterial small subunit ribosomal RNA
Source: RNAcentral
UACGAGAGGCCCAAACGUUAUUCGGAUUUACUGGGCUUAAAGAGUUCGUAGGCGGCGCAGAAAGUAGGGUGUGAAAGCCCUCGGCUUAACCGAGGAACUGCCUGUCAGACUGUGAGGCUUGAGACCGGGAGAGGUGAGUGGAAUUCCCAGUGUAGCGGUGAAAUGCGUAGAUAUUGGGAGGAACACCAGUGGCGAAGGCGGCUCACUGGACCGGAACUGACGCUGAGGCGCGAAAGCGUGGGGAGCAAACAGG